Molecule: microRNA precursor, 113 nt
Organism: Medicago truncatula (barrel medic)
Lineage: Eukaryota; Viridiplantae; Streptophyta; Magnoliopsida; Fabales; Fabaceae
Rfam family: MIR2593 microRNA precursor family
Source: Rfam
AUAUAAGCAAAUUUAACUUUUUAGGUUCAUUCAAUUAAUGAUGUACGUGGUCCAUAUUAUGAACCACAUACAUCAUUAAUUGAACGAAUCUAAAAAGUAAAAUUUGCUUAUAU